Non-coding RNA from Pelodiscus sinensis (Chinese soft-shelled turtle), 1742 nucleotides. Lineage: Eukaryota; Metazoa; Chordata; Testudines; Trionychidae. The record is from RefSeq and is a predicted model, not a curated record.
AUGGUGACUUUUUUGGGGGGGAAGAAGGGGAUAUUUAUGUCAAUACUAUCUUUCAUAGGGUGAGGAAGAUGAGUACCUUUCACUCACAAUAACUGUUCACUGUUGUCCAAGUACGUGCAUCUGAAAAUUAUCCAUAAGCAGAAGUGUAACCCUGCAAUUUUGGAACUGAGUAAUGCUAGAAAUAGGACCUGCCAUAACGAAAAUUGGGACUAUUUGGCCAGGAAUACAGGAAUGCCACAAGAAAAGAUCAUCAUUAUGGACCCAGUUCUUUCUACCUAGUGCUGCCUUGGUGCUGAGUACCCACCUGAGAGUUUGGAAGAUUAGGGUGCUGAGCAUGUUAUGGAAGGUGCCCGGUACCUGGUAGAAUCUUAUACUCUCCGAACUUCAUGACCAUUUUGUCUAAAAUAAAGUGGUGAAACUUCCUUUAAAAAUUGUCCACAUAAUUUAUGCUAGGGAUGUAUAAACUGGUUUGGAUACAAUAUAAAUAAUUUUACCGCAACCUUAGUAACUUUGUUCAAAAUGCAAGUACAUCCUGUUGAAGAAAAAUAUUUGUCCAUACAUAAAAGCUAUGUAGUUUUGUUAGUCUAAAUUAAUAUUUGUUUUAGCAAUAGGUGUAGAAGUUUGAGAAAGCUGCUGGAAUCGAUUGUGGAAUGCAGAGAACUUUAAAAUUAUCCUCAGAAUUAACAUUAUAUUCCAAAAAUCAGAGACAAAUUCCAGAAAAUAAAUGAGUCAUUUAUUCAGCUCUUGGCAGGCAAUACAGUGAAUAUGGAGGACAAGUAAAGGCAAAUAGUGAUAAAAGGAUUCUAAUAUAACAAGAAAAACCCUGUAAAUCUUUAUGUGAUGGAGGACUUGCACUUGUCUUUUUUUCCUCUGGGUUUUGUCUUGUCAUAUUUAGACUUCUGCAAUUUCUGAUUGCUUUGACCUGUUUUAGGAUUUUAACUUUUCCAUAAUGGUGAAUGAAGAAAGACUCUGUCCUUGAAUAUCUCUUUGCUUUCAAGCCCCAACAUAUAGAAUGUGCAGAUGCUAUAAAUGCCACAUAUAGCUUAGAUUUUCUAUUCCCUUCUCUGCUCCAUUGAGAAUAAUUUGUUAUAAUUGCUGAAGAAGCCAGAUUAUUUGUAUUUUUUCAUGAUGACAAGUGCUCACCCUUAUUAUUCUUGACUACAAAUUCAUGAAGGGCCCAGCACUAAUAACCAAAAUGAAUAUCAUAGAUAUUUAUGAAAACACAACCAGUAGGGUCACCAUUUCAAGAGGAAUCUUGCAGUGAUAUUUUUUAACCUUAUAUGCCAAAACCAAAUGACAAACUGUCAGUAUUUAACCUCCAGCCAUUACACACAACAAAGAAAGAGAGAACUGUAACAGGGCUACCAUAGAAUAUAUGACGUACUCACUCAAAAUAAUAUCUUUGAAACUUAUAAGAAGUUUAGGAAGGAACAAAAUGUUUAAUACGUUUUUAGUUGCAUCAAAACACAAAGACUGUAUUUAGACUUGAAGACAGUUACAAUGCUUUGCCAAUUACUGAGCUGCCCAAUUCUCAUUUGACUCCAGUUGUAGGUCAGUUAACUCCAAAGAUAUUAAUGAACUGUUGCUGAUUGUAACAAGCUAAAACUCUAAGACUCAUCAGAGGAACUCUCCUGGGCCAGUAUUCCUUGUUCCAGGUUUGCCUACAAGUGUCCCUGUGGUGCAUGGAACAAGGUCACUGCAGACAGAGUGAUCUCAGAUAGAACAUAACAUAAGAACAUAAG